GACGAACGCUGGCGGCGUGCCUAAUACAUGCAAGUCGAGCGAACAGAUGAGGAGCUUGCUCCUCUGACGUUAGCGGCGGACGGGUGAGUAACACGUGGGCAACCUGCCCUGCAGAUUGGGAUAACUCCGGGAAACCGGGGCUAAUACCGAAUAACAAAAAGAAUCUCCUGAUUCUUUUUUGAAAGGCGGCUUUUAGCUGUCACUGCAGGAUGGGCCCGCGGCGCAUUAGCUAGUUGGUGAGGUAACGGCUCACCAAGGCAACGAUGCGUAGCCGACCUGAGAGGGUGAUCGGCCACACUGGGACUGAGACACGGCCCAGACUCCUACGGGAGGCAGCAGUAGGGAAUCUUCCGCAAUGGACGAAAGUCUGACGGAGCAACGCCGCGUGAGUGAAGAAGGUUUUCGGAUCGUAAAGCUCUGUUGUCAGGGAAGAACAAGUACCAUAGUAACUGAUGGUACCUUGACGGUACCUGACCAGAAAGCCACGGCUAACUACGUGCCAGCCGCCGCAGUAAAA
Molecule: ribosomal RNA, 517 nt
Filed under: uncultured bacterium
Lineage: Bacteria
Description: bacterial SSU rRNA
Rfam family: Bacterial small subunit ribosomal RNA
Source: RNAcentral